UGCAGUCGAACGAACUCUGGUAUUGAUUGGUGCUUGCAUCAGAUUUACAUUUGAGUGAGUGGCGAACUGGUGAGUAACACGUGGGAAACCUGCCCAGAAGCGGGGGAUAACACCUGGAAACAGAUGCUAAUACCGCAUAACAACUUGGACCGCAUGGUCCGAGCUUGAAAGAUGGCUUCGGCUAUCACUUUUGGAUGGUCCCGCGGCGUAUUAGCUAGAUGGUGGGGUAACGGCUCACCAUGGCAAUGAUACGUAGCCGACCUGAGAGGGUAAUCGGCCACAUUGGGACUGAGACACGGCCCAAACUCCUACGGGAGGCAGCAGUAGGGAAUCUUCCACAAUGGACGAAAGUCUGAUGGAGCAACGCCGCGUGAGUGAAGAAGGGUUUCGGCUCGUAAAACUCUCUUGUUAAAGAAGAACAUAUCUUAGAGUAACUGUUCAGGUGUUGACGGUGUUUAA
RNAcentral lists this ribosomal RNA (459 nucleotides) under Lactiplantibacillus plantarum. Its description in RNAcentral is "bacterial SSU rRNA". It matches the Rfam family "Bacterial small subunit ribosomal RNA", at positions 56 to 482 of the family's 1533-position model. Lineage: Bacteria; Bacillati; Bacillota; Bacilli; Lactobacillales; Lactobacillaceae. The record is from RNAcentral.